UACAGAGGGUGCGAGCGUUAAUCGGAAUUACUGGGCGUAAAGCGUGCGUAGACGGUUAUUUAAGUCGGGUGUGAAAGCCCCGGGCUCAACCUGGGAAUUGCAUUCGAGACUGAAUAGCUAGGGUACGGUAGAGGGAAGUGGAAUUUCCGGUGUAGCGGUGAAAUGCGUAGAUAUCGGAAGGAACAUCAGUGGCGAAAGCGAAUUCCUGGACCAGUACCGACGUUCAGGCACGAAAGCGUGGGGAGCAAACAGG
RNAcentral lists this ribosomal RNA (253 nucleotides) under uncultured bacterium. RNAcentral's name for it is "partial 16S ribosomal RNA". It matches the Rfam family "Bacterial small subunit ribosomal RNA", at positions 524 to 776 of the family's 1533-position model. The record is from RNAcentral.